Rhododendron vialii is the source of this 392-nucleotide long non-coding RNA. RefSeq lists it as uncharacterized. The transcript has 2 exons. The record is from RefSeq and is a predicted model, not a curated record. NCBI's taxonomy places the organism in Eukaryota, Viridiplantae, Streptophyta, Magnoliopsida, Ericales, Ericaceae.
UCUCUCUAUUCGGCUCUCUCUCACUCUCUCCAUUUCUCAACCAAAAACCCACCAAAAUCACUUGGAACCUUUACAAUCCAACCUCCAAUUUGUAUUCUAAACGCGAUUCAAGCUUAAAAAUUCGUGGGUCUUGCUUGGAGGGAGCUGUUCAAGGUUGAGAUUGAAGAUCUUGGAGUCAAAGCUUGAUUAAUCUUGGGGAUCUUGCUCUCCAAAUUCGAGGUUCAUUGCAGGUCAUGGUCAUGGAAUAUUUGGAGUGCAUGCAGACGUUAUCGAGCAAAGCUAUUUUGGAGAAUACUUUAUUAUUCUUGUAAAACGAACCGCUUUGUUAUGAAAUUCCUAUCUUAGAAGAUGGUAUUUGUAGACCAGUUUGUGGAAUUGUAAAUUGUAUUGUA